This 788-nucleotide ribosomal RNA is filed under the name uncultured bacterium. Its description in RNAcentral is "bacterial SSU rRNA". It matches the Rfam family "Bacterial small subunit ribosomal RNA", at positions 8 to 796 of the family's 1533-position model. The record is from RNAcentral.
AGAGUUUGAUCCUGGCUCAGGAUGAACGCUAGCGGGAGGCCUAACACAUGCAAGCUGAGCGGUAGAGAUCUUUCGGGAUCUUGAGAGCGGCGUACGGGUGCGGAACACGUGUGCAACCUGCCUUUAUCAGGGGGAUAGCCUUUCGAAAGGAAGAUUAAUACCCCAUAAUAUUUUGAGUGGCAUCACUUGAAAUUGAAAACUGAGGUGGAUAAAGAUGGGCACGCGCAAGAUUAGAUAGUUGGUGAGGUAACGGCUCACCAAGUCGAUGAUCUUUAGGGGGCCUGAGAGGGUGAUCCCCCACACUGGUACUGAGACACGGACCAGACUCCUACGGGAGGCAGCAGUGAGGAAUAUUGGACAAUGGGUUAGCGCCUGAUCCAGCCAUCCCGCGUGAAGGACGACGGCCCUAUGGGUUGUAAACUUCUUUUGUACAGGGAUAAACCUAUCUACGUGUAGAUAGCUGAAGGUACUGUACGAAUAAGCACCGGCUAACUCCGUGCCAGCAGCCGCGGUAAUACGGAGGGUGCAAGCGUUAUCCGGAUUUAUUGGGUUUAAAGGGUCCGUAGGCGGAUGUGUAAGUCAGUGGUGAAAUCUCACAGCUCAACUGUGAAACUGCCAUUGAUACUGCGUGUCUUGAGUGAGGUUGAAGUAGCUGGAAUAAGUAGUGUAGCGGUGAAAUGCAUAGAUAUUACUUAGAACACCAAUUGCGAAGGCAGGUUACUAAGUCUCAACUGACGCUGAUGGACGAAAGCGUGGGGAGCGAACAGGAUUAGAUACCCUGGUAGUCC